This 1788-nucleotide long non-coding RNA is filed under the name Sus scrofa (pig). RNAcentral describes it as "lncRNA (ENSSSCG00030010549.1, ENSSSCG00050041062.1)". The record is from RNAcentral. Lineage: Eukaryota; Metazoa; Chordata; Mammalia; Artiodactyla; Suidae.
UUUUUUCUGUUACUGCAGUAUCUUACACUGAUUGAUUUUCAUAUGUUGAACUAUCCUUGCAUUCCAGGAAUAAAUCCCACAUCAUCAUGUGUAUAAUCCUUUUAAUAUGCUGUUGAAUUUGGUUUACUAGUAUUUUGUUGAGAAUUUUAAUAUUAAUAUUUAUAAGGACUAUAGAUCUGUAAUUUUCUUGUAUAUCUUCGGCUUUGAUAUCAGGCUAAUGCUGGGCUUGUAGAAAUAUUUAAGAAAUAUUCCUUCCUUUUCAAAUUUUAAGAAGAAUUUGAGAAGGGUUGGUGUUAAUUCUGAAAUGUUUGGUAGAUUCACCAACAAAGCUAUCUUGUCCUCUUGUCCUGCUCUCUUCUUCAUUGGGAGGUUCCGAGUCAUUCUUUUUUUUUUUUUGCUUUUCAGGGCCACACCCAUGGCAUAUGGAGCGGCCCAAAGAAAUAGCAAAAAAUUAAAAAAAUAAAUAAAUAAAAUAAAUCAAUGCCUUAAAAAAAAAAAAAAAGAAAACAUUUCCCUAUAUUUGAACCCAGGAGAUGUCUCUGCUAUGACUCUUAUUCUGCCCUAGGAGCCAAACAGAGCAAGAAGAAACACUUUCCACAGAUCUACUCUUCAAAUAUUUGGGGGUUAGGACUCAUAUCUUUUGGAGACUCUGCCUGUUUCACCAUUUUCAAUUUCUCCCCCUUCCCUGAACUAAUGAACCAGCCAAACCCAAACUCAUCAUAGCCUCCAGGGUCCCACAGAACUGGGGCCCUGCCCACCCUGCCAACCUCAGCUCACACGCUUCUCUUUUGGGCUCACCUUGCUUCAGCUACACAGCCUCUUUUCUGUUGGGCAACACUGCCAAGCUCUUCCCUGCCUUCUCUUCAGCUCCGUGACUAGAGGGCUUAUGGAUGCUCGGGCAGAUCCCUGACCCUCACCGAGGUCUCCCUGGUAGAUAAAGUCCCUGACUACUCAUAGAAUCUCCCAGAUCCCCCAGGUGGCAUGGAUGGCAGCAGGGCAGCUGGAGUGGGGACCCAGACUUGGCUGGCCCAUGGCAUCUGAAUUGAGGGAAAAACGGAAAGAGGUCAAAAAGGGAGAGAACCAGAGGUGACUUUUCCACCUCGCCCUGUCUGGAAGCAUCUCACCCACCCCUGGUCCACUCCAGGGUCCCACAUGUGAGACAGUGCUGGUGUCUCCCUAUGGUGUGCCCUCUCUCCACUGAGUGGUCCCCGCCCCCAGGCUUGCCUUUGUCCCUUUGUCCAGGGCCCAUGCUCCUCCUCUUUUGGUUUCUCAGCGUCCUCAUGCUUCCAUCCCAAGCUGAGCUGGCCCAGGAGACAGCCAUUGCAUGAGAGCCUUGGGGACAGUGUGGCAGGUGUGACUCUGGGACCCUGGCUCUUGCCUCAGCUAAAGCUUGAGGGAGCUUCCCACUUGAUGGGAAGGUAGGAGGCUCAAGCAUGGGGGUGUGGAGGUGGGGCGGUCAGCCAGAGGCUAAGAUAUGGCUGCUUAUCCUGGGGAUCCACCCACCAGCCAUGUGUGCCACCCAGGCAAGUCCUCUCUGGCCCUAUCACGCCCAUGUGUGAAAGGGGAUCCAGCUGAGUCGUCUCUGGGACCCCCUCAGCUCUGACAUCCUGAGUCUCCGGGCCCAGGAGCUGGGACAUUGAGUGGUCCCUGGCUGAGCCCUCCCCGCCUCAGUGCUCCCAGAGCCCCUCCCCCCCAGCAGUUCCCUUCCACACUGCCCCGCCCCCGCGUCCCAUCCAUCCUCCUCUCCGCUGUAGCUGCUGCUUAACCUCCACAGGGGGCCGAGGAGCC